This 4118-nucleotide unclassified non-coding RNA is filed under the name Apis florea (little honeybee). Its description in RNAcentral is "eukaryotic translation initiation factor 4E transporter, transcript variant X4". The record is from RNAcentral. Lineage: Eukaryota; Metazoa; Arthropoda; Insecta; Hymenoptera; Apidae.
CGAGUGUCGGAUUUCGACAUUUUUAUAAAUACAUUAAUUGGAACGUCAAUGUUUUUAUGAAGUGAAUAUCCUCGAUAAAUUAAUGUAUCUUCUGUUUAUAAUUAUACAUUUCGUUUAAUUUUACCUUAUUUCAUUUUUCACUAUACUUUUACUAAUUCGGUUUGAAACGGUAAUUCUUUGUCCGUUUUGUCCUUCAUUGAUAAAUAUUUAUUUGAUAAUAUCUUUCGACUAUUUGAUACGGUUAAAACCAGUAAACCAAAAGUGUCGAUAAAAGUAAGGAGUAAAUUUGAAGAAAUUUGAUUAAAAUGAAGCUAGACACACGCGGUGUUAGUUCGAAUUGGUAUCGUCGACCACGAAAACGUCCGCUGGUAGGACCUACAGGGUCUCCUCUCCUAGACGCGACUUUAGCUGUGCAAACUAGAGCUUUUCGAUGGUUUCGCAAAAAUAAAUCUGUCAACAUUACAAAGCGAGUCACAUUUCGAGAUGAAGCAAUUAUAUCUAUGUCGGUAGCCGGGGAAGUAACCGACACUUCAAUUAUGGAAGUAGGCCGUUCAAGACCUCAAUUCCAAUAUUCCCGGGAGGAAUUAAUGCUGAUAAAGAGUUUGCCAUUAUCUAAGAGGAGGCCUGAUUUCUUAGAUACCUCAUAUAACAAUUCGCGUGGUGUAUGGGAUCCUGAACGUUGGCAUUCGGGUAGGAAGCGAAGUGAUACACCACCAAAAGAUGAAAGAACUGGACGCGGUGAUCAAGUUACUGAAAAUCAUAACAAACGUCGCAAUGGAGAUCCACGUGAACGAAUUCGUAAGGAACAAGAUGGAAUAGUAUUGAGUCCUCAACGUAGAAGUUUUAAUUCAGGUUGUUUUGUCAACGUGAAUCAACCUUCGAAUCGACGUCCUGAAAGUCCAAUAGGAAAAACAGAGGUUAGCCAUAGAGAACCUGUUCGACGAAUUGGAAGCGGUAGAAUUUUAACUCGCGAUAUAUGGGACUUUAGACCAGAGAAUGAGAAAUUAGAACCUGCUUUUCGAUCUGGAGCAGGUGGUGGUACUUCUAUGCGUGAUCGUGAUAACAGAGAUAUUCGCGAUGGAAAAGAUCGGGAGAAUGCGAGAGAAAGAGAUCGUGAUCGCGACAAUUUGCGUGAACGAGAUGAGAGAAAUGAACGGUUCGAAAGAAGAUCUUUUGGUCGUGAUUAUAGUGAUAGAGAAAGGGAACGAGAUCGAGAUAGAGCAACUGAACGGAAUGAUCGUAAUCAUCAAUCGGAACGUGAUAAGGAUCGUGGUCGCGAACGAAGAUUUAGUAAUGAUCGUAGACGAACUUAUAGCGAAAAUCGUAGUGAUGCGGAUGAACCAGAAUGGUUUAGUUCUGGACCAACAUCUCAACAUGAUACUAUUGAAUUAAGAGGUUUUGAAGAUAUCCCAGAAGAAAAAGCGGUGAACAAUAAUAACAGCAAUACUAAAAACAAAAAACAAACUCCAGUCCAGAAAAAACGCGGAAAGAAAAACUCAUUGGAAAAAGAUGAAAAGCAAAACGAAAAUUCAACAGGUCCGAAAGGACGAAGUACACCAACUACGAUGGAUCAAUCUUUAAACGUUGUAGCCGCGCCUCAUUCGCCGAUUUCUGAACAAAAUGAAUCAUCAUCUCUCGUACAAAAAACUAAUCACGAUUCUAAUGUGAGUACCAUGACUGAACAAAGUUGUGAGACAACAGAUAAUUCUAGCACCAUUAAUCAAAACCAAGAGGACAGUCAUCCUGAUUUCAAUCUUGAUGAAUUUUUAAAAUCUGAUACAUUCCCUGGCGUACCUGGGCUUUUAACUAAUGGAGUUGGUUCAAAUGGAGGUUCUUGUUCCCGAUUUAGUCAAUGGUUUAAAAGAGAGAGUCCAGUUCAACAAGUAGAUAGUCGUAGAACUUCUAUACAGGAUGAUAUAUUGAACAAUCUUCUUAAUGAUAUUACUGAGCCAAAUAUUCAAAUUCCGUCAGUGACAGAAUCUAAUACAUAUUUUGCUCCCAUUUCUCCUGCUAAUACGACAACAACAAAUAAUACUACAUCUAACACUACUAGCGUAAAGCUGCUAGAAAUGCUGCAGCGUGGAAACAAAUCAAGUCAGAAUGGACAAGGAGAUGCAGCUAAUACUGUCAUACCAAUGAUGAAAAGUUCAUCCAUUAAAGAUAUGGAAGUUGGUGGAAAAGUUGUGCAUAGUCUUGAAGAAUUAGAAGCACGUAUGCGAGGUGGCGUUCCCCCACCUACUUCUUCAACUGAUCAACCUCAUGUAAAUAAGACUGAAGAAGAUCUCUCUGCGUUUAAAAAAUUGCUUGCUCAAGUAACUGGAGGACAGGCUAUACCAGCGGCAAACGGUCCUAUUUCACAAAAACAACCUGUAACACUCAUACAAUUACUUAACUCACAACUGAAAACACAACCAAUUGCUCCCCAACAAUCGGUUCCAGAACCAAUGCAUACUACAACAUUUAAUCAUGUUGGUUCUCUUGGGCCAACUCAACAUCCACAUCAACACAAUGCACAAAUGCAACAUGAAAAUUUAAUGAAAGUAUUACAGAUUCAACAACAACAGAAACAACAUCAUCAACAACAACAGCAUUCAGAUAUGUUAUCUAUGAUGAUGGGUGGUCAACGAAUGUUAGGUAUGAGUCCCGUUCCUCCGGAAAUGCAAAUAAUGUUGAGUAAUGCUCCAACAAGUCAGGAACUUCUCCAAAGACCGGAAGCUCAAGCAAUUAUUCAAGGUCUACAACAAGGAGAAAUAACUAGACAACAUCUCAUACAGCAAUUACAGAAUCCAGCCAUGCAACAUCGUCACAGGGAAGUCUUAGUAAAUAUUUUGAAAAUGUAUGGUGGCACUACGCCGCGUACUAUAAGUCCGCAUCCUAGUGCACCUACACCUCAAGAUCAUAUUUUACAACAAAUGUUAUAUCAGCAGCAACAACAAAGAAUUCCAUCUCCUAUGAAUAAUGCUUAUUGUCCACCUUCAAUAAUAUCUCCAAAUUUGACUGCUAGUCCCAGUACAUUAACAGUACAGCAUCCAGUGAUGCAGCAUAGAGUUCCUUCACCACGGGAAAUUGUUAUGCAUGCUCAAUCUAUAAUGCAAAGUGCUUUAAUUAAGAAAAAGUUGGAGGAACAACGUGAAAACUUCCGAAAGCGACAAGAUCAACAGCAGCAGCAGCAACAACAAGCUCAACAAAGAGCAUCAAGUCCCGUUAACUCACCAGCAAAACAAACUAUGAGUCCAACACCACUUGCUUUUACUCCGACAUCAGUGUUACGUAAAAUGACUGCCGAUAAGGAACCUGAGGGUAAUAGUAAUGAUCCAUCGAAAUUGGGAACCCAAUCACAAACAUCUCAAAUGCAACAAAUGCAAUCUGCAGUUCAAUUGUUGACACAAGGAGUUCUUUCUCGACAUAAUACUUUACGACCACAGUCUGUUCAAUCUACUUGGUCAAAUCCAACUAUAAAACAACAUCCAGGUCGACCCAUAGUAAAAGGUGGUGGUGGUAGUGGUGGUAAUGGUGGUAAUCAAUUUCAAUAUGGUGGAAACUCAGAUUUCCAACAACAGCAACAACAACAACAACAACAUAGAACGGUUUCAAGCGUAUAUGGUAAUCCUGCACGCUCCAAACAUACCAUGACUAGUUCCAUAGCACAUCAUAAUGUUCCACAAUACAAUGUUGCUCAAAAUUCAAUGAUAAAUCAGAGGUCGAAUAGUAUGAAUAAUCAAAUGAAGAUGCAACAAGCUCCAUCACAUCUAGCUAAUAUGCAACAUCAACCACCGCAACAACAACAACGGAUUCUUAAUUCACAAAUGCAAAUGGUCUUAAAUCAAAACUAUAACUCCAGUCGUGCAGGUGUCUACCUCUUGUCUAAUCAAAUUGCAUGCAAUGGUGUUCAGAAAUUGGAAUAAUUAGAUAUCACAUUUUAGCCGUUCCUCUUAUUUAAAUCGUCUAGACAGCAUUUAUCUUUGGAUCGAAAUUAAAAUGGGCGAGUAAUGCGGUCGCAGCAAUUGAAUAUGCCCGUAGGUCGACAAGCAUCACCAGGUUUGGGAUACGUGGGUAGCAAUGGUGGAGAUCUUUCACCAACUUCAAAUCAGUUGGCACGAUGGUUUAGUCCAGAACUU